RNAcentral lists this ribosomal RNA (420 nucleotides) under Triticum aestivum (bread wheat). Its description in RNAcentral is "partial small subunit ribosomal RNA". The record is from RNAcentral. Lineage: Eukaryota; Viridiplantae; Streptophyta; Magnoliopsida; Poales; Poaceae.
CGAGUUCCUCUUGUAACGACGCAUAAAGUUACAGGACGUCCCAAAGGAAAACCGGACAGUACCUUCGUGCUAGCCACGGCCAGGAUGCGAAGUGUUCAUAUAGUGAUCAAGACGUUUUCCGCACCACCUACGGUCGAAGAGCAACAAGUUCGAUCGACAAAGACGGAUACAUAGCCGCUGUUGUUCUUCCGGACCUUCUCGCUUGUGACGUCCCGUGACUUCUAUUUCGAAUGUCUUUCUUUAUUUCUACCGGUAUAAGAGUGUAUGAGGACCUAAAGUAAAUGUAGUUGAAGAGUUCUCUCCUCAUGAGGAAAAAUCAUCAGAGUCAAAUUUCAUUUAAUUUACUUUCCUCAUGAGGAAAAGUCAACAGAGCCAAAUUUCACUUACUUUCCUCAUGAACGAGGGACAUGAUCAAUGAAG